AUUUGGUUUCUGUGCAGCGAAUGUGUGAAUUCAGUGUUGCUUAAGUCAUGAAUAUAUGUGCAAGAUUUCAGUCGCAUUAACUGUGUUAAAUCUCUGAUGAGACUGGGGUUUACUUGGUCUGGUACACUGUAUUUUAUCCCAGGGAAUAACCUGGGAUGCCAGUAAUGUUUCAGUUACUGAUUCACAGAACACCAAUACGUGUUAACAUAUACUGUCUUUUUAUACAGCAUUAAAACAAAAUGUCAUCGUCAUCCUCGUCUUUACCUGUACAUAACUGUACUGCUCCCUUAUUGGACUUUGAUCUUCAGGAAAAGUAUCUUCUUCCUCAUGCUACUGAGUUAAACAGUAAAAACCUUGACACUUUGAUGCAGAAAUUAAGUGAAAACGAAACCCGAAACACUAAUCUCAGGAGAAAAAUACUUGAAAGGGAGAAAUAUGUUAAAGAACUUUCAUCCAGACUUCAGCUUGAAAAGGUCAAUGUACAGAAAGAAGGCCACCUGUCAAGAUCAGUAAAGGCAGUACAAGCUCACCUACAGUGUCAGAUUCAAAGAAAAGAAGUGGAAAAUGAUAAACUGAAAGUGAAAAUACAGGUCAACAUAUUUUUUCUUGUGUUUCAGUUUUUUUGAAAAAAUUAGCAAAGUCUUAUUGUGAUCAGAGUUUAACUCAGAUAUGAGAGUUAAAUCUUAGAGUAUCCCUUGAAAUCAAACUCUUGGUGAAAGAAAAAUCCCAAACUGUAAAAAUCAUUAGCAUUUAUAUUUUGCACAGUCAGUCUGCUUGACCACACUAUCUUAAUUGCAAGG
RNAcentral lists this long non-coding RNA (800 nucleotides) under Calidris pygmaea (Spoon-billed sandpiper). RNAcentral's name for it is "lncRNA (ENSCPGG00000012601.1)". The record is from RNAcentral. Lineage: Eukaryota; Metazoa; Chordata; Aves; Charadriiformes; Scolopacidae.